AGCGACCCUAGGUUCUCUUCGCGCUCCCUGGCUGCUCCAGAGACCGAGACCUGAGCCCUCAGACCGGACCGCUGGCCCGCACGCCCCUACGCCGCCGCUACUCAGCGACACUGGCCUUCUGUCCCAUUGCGCCGGUACCUCCCGGAAGCCGGGCGAGCACCUGCGCAGGCGCGUCAAGGCCCCGCCCCCGACUUCGCGUGGCCUGGAGUGCGGAGCAUGCGUAGUAGCCUUGGACCGUUGGGUUAGGCUGUAGCUGAGUCGGGUGCCACGCAACGUGCCCUUUGGUCGCCACUCUGGGGUCACGAAGUAAGAGGCUCUUGGCCACCUGCCUGUUGAGGAAAGCGUCGUCCCUGCCGCGUGUUUCUGCUCUCAGAGAGCUUCGUGGGCAUAAAGGGAACACUGGCCCAGAGAGGCAGGGGAUUGGAAACAGUUCGCCGCCUCCCAGCCCCGCGCAUUUGACAAGAGAAGAGCUUCGAGCAAAGCGCCAUAGAAGCUCUUAAAGGAGAUAGAGGGGGUGGCCUCACAGAGGAGGUGGCAGUACUGCUAGAGCAGGCAGGGUGUGAGGAGGGGUGUUCCUGGUGGUCUUUGCCUGGAGGGCAUUGUCAGAAAUGGAGGUUCCAUGGUGAUUCCAUCCUUGACUACAGUAAUAAUGUGCACAUCUGAGACCGGGUGUCUCUAACUGUUUGAGGUGCCAUCUUGCCCAUGGCUGGGAGUUUCCUGAUGAACAAAAUCUUGGCAAUGGUGAAAAGCUGGGUGAUGGAACAAAGGCUCUGCUCAGCAUCACUGAACAUGAAAUACCUGUCCAGAAUAUCUCCUGGAACUCCGUCAUGUUCAUUCUGACAGUUUUUGUUGGUUGGUUUGUUUGUUUGUUUGUUUGUUUUUGGUAAUUCUGGGGAGGUACAGGCUACUGGAGGUACUAACUCCAUCCUUUUCACUGAUGUCACUCCAUGAGUUCAGUUUUUGAACAUAUUAGGUUAAGUCUCGGUACCACACCAAGUGUAAACCAGUAUAUAAAUUCUUUAGGCUAAAGAUCUGUUUGGUAUAUUCACUAUUGGAUCCCCAGCACUUAGAACAGUCCAUAGCACACAGUGAGCACCCAACAAAUGUAUGUUGAAUGACUGGAGCUUCAUAGUAAAAAUAUGAAAAUAGGAACAUUAAACUUAACUUCAGCAUAUGGCUUAGAGGUAGGGAUGUUCGAAUCAUCAGUGUAUAGAUAAUAACUGAAGCCACAGAUGAAAAAGAAGUUGUUUUCAAAUUACAUUAGUAACAAAUUCCUUUUUAGGACAAAGCAAAAUUACUAUUGCCACCUACCUCCCUAAAGUAGUUAUACUGGCCCUGUGUCCCUGCCUAGACAAUUUACUGUCUUUCUCUUUUUCUCACCAAAUAAGAAACAAGCACAUGAAAACUGUUCAACACCAUUAGUCAUUCGGUUCCAGUUUCAGUUCAGUCGCUCAGUCGUGUCCGACUCUUUGCAACCCCAUGA
RNAcentral lists this long non-coding RNA (1483 nucleotides) under Capra hircus (goat). RNAcentral describes it as "lncRNA (ENSCHIG00010029537.1)". The record is from RNAcentral. Lineage: Eukaryota; Metazoa; Chordata; Mammalia; Artiodactyla; Bovidae.